CACCCCCUUCAGCCCUUCCGGCUACAGCGUUCAGUCUCUUUUCCUGACCCGGAACUCCAGGCGGCAAUUUCCCUGAUCUUUGUUCCCUGAGGUCUUCUGACAUUCAUGAGAUAAAGCGCCUCACACCAGUGACUCUUCUCAUCGCUAGAACAAAAUAUUUGACCAGAAGCAUCUUAACGAAAGACAGGAUCAUGCACAUGAUACAGUGUUCUCAGACAUGGACCUGUAUUUUCACCAAUCAAGAGAGAAAAGACAAGGACUGGUGACAUGGCUCCGUGGACCCUGCCACCACGCUGGGACACCUGAGUUGGAUUCCAAAGAGCCACUUGGUAGAAGGAGAGAACCCUCUCCUCAAAGUUGUCCUCUGACCUACAUGUUUGUCCUGUGGUGCCCUUGUGCACAUAAAACAAAAUAAAG
This 417-nucleotide small RNA is filed under the name Rattus norvegicus (Norway rat). RNAcentral's name for it is "uncharacterized LOC102557192". The record is from RNAcentral. Lineage: Eukaryota; Metazoa; Chordata; Mammalia; Rodentia; Muridae.